This is a long non-coding RNA of Neofelis nebulosa (Clouded leopard), 1524 nucleotides long. RefSeq lists it as uncharacterized. NCBI's taxonomy places the organism in Eukaryota, Metazoa, Chordata, Mammalia, Carnivora, Felidae. The record is from RefSeq and is a predicted model, not a curated record. The transcript is spliced from 3 exons.
CAAGCCCCAAGUUCAAGUGCGGAAGCAACAGCCCAUUCAUUACCACGGUGCCUGCCGCCCCCUAGUGGCCCCCACCUGGGUAUGCAAGAGGAAGAGAUGCCUUCUACCAAACCAGUGAAGAAAAGGGAAAACUCAGAGAAAACUGGCCUGGGAAAGCCCCAAGAAGCAGGCCCACCCUACCCCAUCCAAGCCCCGAGGAGGGCAUCCUGAGAGGCCCCAGGAUCUUGAGGCAACACAAGUAGAAGCAGCUAUGCCUGGGACUCCGAGAAGCCUCACAGCCGGCAGGCACCUUCUCCCCCCUCAACCUGGGGCUUCUCCCAGGCCAGUCCCCUCCAUUGUGACAGAACAAGCCCAGCCCCCAGACAGAGCCCAGGGCAAGCACCAAGAUGGGACAAGGUGGCCCCUACACCCCAGGGAGGGGCCAAGGUCAGUUACCGGCUUGCUCCUCGGGGGCCUCUGUCAGGAAGGGAACAAGAAGCAGAGUUAUUCCAAGGGGACUGCUCGGACUUAGGGCCCUUCUCUUUCCCCUCAGCCUCCGAAUCCUGCCCCCCCCCCCCCCCCUUCACAGUGCUCCGCAUUACUGCCAUCCAAGUCCAGGGGCAGAGAUCCUUCUCUGGGCAUCAGAGCCUCCUGUUCUGACGUGGGAGACUGGGAAGAGGCACAUGCAACAGAGGGUGAUAACAGACACAUCUGUGCUGGGCCUCACCAGACCCAGAAGGCACACCCAGCCUGGAAACCUGAGAGGCCCAGGCAUCUGCACCCUGGGCCUCCCCAGACUCACCCAGAGAGAAGCCAUCCUUAUGGACCAGCCACACCUUCUCUGUCUCAUACCAGGACUCCUCAGCUGCAAUCUGCUCUUCUGUCUUCACCUAUCAGAGGAAGGGGGGGUAAUAAAUAGUCAGACCUUGCUCUGGAAAACAGUCGGGACAGAAGAGAAGAGACACGUGAGGGGAAGUGCUUCCAGAUGAGCCACCUGGUUAAACGUUCAUCUCGACUGGACACAUUCUACGGGUCAGAUGCUUGGAACCUGAUGAAGAAGGGGACAUCACAGGGUCCUGGCCUAGAACGAAUCCUUUAGAGCUAAUUCAAGGGUAGGUUCCCAAAUUGGCCAGCAGGUGGAGCCAAAGAAUGCCACAUCUUCUGGCUUGGGAAGGCGGGUGGGAGGUGGGAGGGGCUCAGCCUUUCAGCUUUCUCUACCCAGAGUAAGAGGAAUUAAAACACCUAGAAACCAAAACUCUUGCCAGGCCCUUGGGUUCCAGUGGUUAAAAUCCAGAUGCCACAGGUCCAACCUCAAGUGGUGGCACUCAGACUGGACACCUCCCAAGGGCCUGACACAGAACAGCCCCAUUUCAAACUUCUGGCACCACCUCCCCCAAGGAUCCCCCCAGAUACAGGGUGGGAGCCGGAAGGGAAAAGAGGCCUUACACUCCAGCAUGAGGCCCGAGCACAGACGCCAGCCCAGGUACAGGCCAGGGGUGGAAGGCGGUCACUGGAGGAAGCGGAGGGCUCCUGAAGGGGGCAGGA